CCCUUAGACGUUCUGGGCCGCACGCGCGCUACACUGACCAGUGCAACAAGCAUCCGUCCUUGGCCGACAGGCUCGGGCAAUCUUUGAACGCUGGUCGUGAUGGGGAUAGACUUUUGCAAUUUUUGGUCUUCAACGAGGAAUUCCUAGUAAACGCAAGUCAUCAACUUGCAUUGAUUACGUCCCUGCCCUUUGUACACACCGCCCGUCGCACCUACCGAUUGAAUGGUCCGGUGAAGCCUCCGGAUUGGCGCGCACCUCGGUGCCGCCGAGAAGUUGGCUAAACCUUACCAUUUAGAGAAAGGUGAAGUCGUAACA
RNAcentral lists this ribosomal RNA (315 nucleotides) under uncultured eukaryote. RNAcentral's name for it is "partial 18S ribosomal RNA". It matches the Rfam family "Eukaryotic small subunit ribosomal RNA", at positions 1470 to 1796 of the family's 1831-position model. The record is from RNAcentral.